UAAAACACAGGUGAUUUAUUCCAUGGCAAAGGCGUGUAUGAUAUUGGCUGAAGAUACAAAGGUUGUUCAUGUCUUGGUAGCAGCAUUCCAGUUGCGGUUGAAGUUCUUCCAUUGCUUUAUCACCUGUUUUGAGGAGGCUUGUUGCUCUUGGUGGAGUUCCUGAAAUUCGAUCUGCUGUGAUGAAGGAUGGCUCCUGUGAUCACAGAUCUUGGUAACGUGGUGGGUAGAUGUGAG
Long non-coding RNA from Pistacia vera, 234 nucleotides. RefSeq lists it as uncharacterized. NCBI's taxonomy places the organism in Eukaryota, Viridiplantae, Streptophyta, Magnoliopsida, Sapindales, Anacardiaceae. The transcript has 3 exons. The record is from RefSeq and is a predicted model, not a curated record.